UAUUAAAAAUUUCAUUCAUUUUUACAGUUAAAAAUUUGACUGACAGAAUAAUUAGACAUCUACACAUGGUGUGCCAUCAUGUUGACCUAUAGAAACCAAUUUUUAACAGUGAAAAAGAAUGGAAGUUUUAACA
This is a non-coding RNA of Gossypium raimondii (Peruvian cotton), 133 nucleotides long. The record is from Rfam. Lineage: Eukaryota; Viridiplantae; Streptophyta; Magnoliopsida; Malvales; Malvaceae.